AAUUCGAUUAGAGUUUGAUCCUGGCUCAGAUUGAACGCUGGCGGCGUGCUUAACACAUGCAAGUCGUGCGAGAAAGGUUCCUUCGGGGACUGAGUAGGGCGGCGCACGGGUGAGUAACGCGUGGGUGACCUACCCAGGAGACCGGGAUAACAGUGGGAAACUGCUGCUAAUACCGGGUACGCUUCAUAUUUCACGUAUGGGGGAAAGGCGGCCUCUGCUUGCAAGCUGCCACUCUUGGAUGGGCCCGCGUCUCAUUAGCUUGUUGGUAGGGUAACGGCCUACCAAGGCGACGAUGAGUAGCUGGUCUGAGAGGAUGAUCAGCCACACUGGGACUGUAUCUUUUGCCCAGACUCCUACGGGAGGCAGCAGUGGGGAAUAUUGCGCAAUGGGCGAAAGCCUGACGCAGCGACGCCGCGUGAGGGAAGAAGGCCUUCGGGUCGUAAACAUCUGUCAGGAGGGAAGAAACCCUGGCAGUCGAAUAGGCUCUCCUGCUGACGGCACCUCCCGGAGGAAGCAC
This 517-nucleotide ribosomal RNA is filed under the name uncultured bacterium. RNAcentral describes it as "bacterial SSU rRNA". It matches the Rfam family "Bacterial small subunit ribosomal RNA", at positions 1 to 493 of the family's 1533-position model. The record is from RNAcentral.